RNAcentral lists this ribosomal RNA (501 nucleotides) under uncultured bacterium. RNAcentral's name for it is "partial 16S ribosomal RNA". It matches the Rfam family "Bacterial small subunit ribosomal RNA", at positions 30 to 523 of the family's 1533-position model. The record is from RNAcentral.
AUUGAACGCUGGCGGCAGGCUUAACACAUGCAAGUCGAGCGGGGGAAGGUAGCUUGCUACCGGACCUAGCGGCGGACGGGUGAGUAAUGCUUAGGAAUCUGCCUAUUAGUGGGGGACAACAUCUCGAAAGGGAUGCUAAUACCGCAUACGUCCUACGGGAGAAAGCAGGGGAUCUUCGGACCUUGCGCUAAUAGAUGAGCCUAAGGCGGAUUAGCUAGUUGGUGGGGUAAAGGCCUACCAAGGCGACGAUCUGUAGCGGGUCUGAGAGGAUGAUCCGCCACACUGGGACUGAGACACGGCCCAGACUUCUCCGGGAGGCAGCAGUGUGGAAUAUUGGACAAUGGGGGGAACCCUGAUCCAGCCAUGCCGCGUGUGUGAAGAAGGCCUUAUGGUUGUAAAGCACUUUAAGCGAGGAGGAGGCUACUUUAGUUAAUACCUAGAGAUAGUGGACGUUACUCGCAGAAUAAGCACCGGCUAACUCUGUGCCAGCCGCCGCAGUAA